GAUGCUCAGCAGCCCUGGGGUGGCGGCCGCUGUAGUCACUGCCCUGGAGGACGUGUUCCAGGCCCUGGGCUUUGAGAGCUGCGAGAGGAGGGAGGUCCCGGUCCAGGGCUUCCUCGAGGAACUGGCUUGGUUCCAGGAGCAGCUGGAUGCCCACGGGCGCCCUGUGGGGUGUGCCUUAGUGGCCUUGAUGCCCCCAGAGGGCAGCUGAGGCAGCCACAGCAGCUGGUCCGGGAGCUGAGCGGCUGCCGGGCCCUGCGGGGCUGCCCCAAAGUCUUCCUGCUGCUCUCAAGUGGUCCUGGGUCCUCCCUGGAGCCCGGAGCCUUCCUUGCUGGCCUGAGAGAGCUGUGUGGCCGCUCUCCUCACUGGUCCCUGGUGCAGCUGCUGACGAAGAAGUGGUCUCAGCCCCUCACCCUCAACUCGGGACCCCUGACAACCCACUCAGGAUCCCCGACACUCGACUCCUCCCAGCUCCAUGCCUUGGCCCAAGCAGUUCCCUCUGCCUGCUAUGCCUUCCUGUUGUCCCGGGAGCCCUGCACAGUCCUCUGCAGGCUGCCAGCGAUGCCCUUCCUUGCAU
This 574-nucleotide long non-coding RNA is filed under the name Homo sapiens (human). RNAcentral describes it as "non-protein coding lnc-ZNF213-1:2". Lineage: Eukaryota; Metazoa; Chordata; Mammalia; Primates; Hominidae. The record is from RNAcentral.